Molecule: long non-coding RNA, 593 nt
Filed under: Rhinopithecus bieti (black snub-nosed monkey)
Lineage: Eukaryota; Metazoa; Chordata; Mammalia; Primates; Cercopithecidae
Description: lncRNA (ENSRBIG00000045276.1)
Source: RNAcentral
UAUUUUGAAAGAUAAUAUAACAAACACUAAUGUUUGAAACUGGGAAAAUAUCAGAGCCAGCAGGAAGGAUGAUUAACACUCAUAAGAAUGGUACAGACAUUGCUGAAACAGUUUUCAGAUACCUGCAUUCUCCGUUGGUCUCAAGAUAAUUGCUGGGAGCUGCUAAAACCAACUAAGACUCGAGGGAAAUCCCCACUACUCUAUAGCAGAAAUGCCCUGGAUUAAGGAAAGAAACUAAGCAAGAAGGUUGACAUCAUAUACAAGAAUGAGAGAAGAGCUAAGACUUGGCUCUAUUUCCUACCAGCUGGGAAAUUGCUGAAUUUUUUUUAUUUUUAUGCUUGCACCUGCAAAAAAUAAAUUUUAAAAACCAAACCAACAAACAUAAAACUAUUUUAUUGAAAAGCCCAGUUGCUUACUUGAUUAAUACAACACUUAGUAAAUCAAGGUGAAAGUAAUUAGGCAUUAUUUAGUCAGAUACAAGUUGUUGUUCCUUUUGGUUUUUAAAAACCCUGCACCAUAUAAGAUGUGUUGCUAAGGCUGCUAAACACAGGAAGUUGCAUUUUACUGUUGUUUCCAAAUAUGCCUAAUGUCAC